GUAUAAUCUGAAAAUAUCAUGAAAUUCUACACAUGAAAAAGAGAGAGUCAACAUUAAAGCUAUACAAUCGCAUAGCUCUUAACAAGGGAUUCUGUCGCAUAACUAUUUACCGAGAGCAAACUGGCGGAUUUUGGUUCUUUUAUGCGAUCGCAUAGAAAAUAGCUACUCGACCUCAUAGUUCAACCCGGAAAGUGAAUUUUUCAAUUUUUACGAAAUCUUUUAUUUUAGUAACUUUUGUAUUCUUUAGACUUUAAUUCUGUAUAGACUAGGGAUUUACGGGUUUCCUAUAUAUGACUCAUUAUUCUAAAUUGUAAAUAACAUUCAUUCAUAUCAAUCGAGAGAUUACUUUUCUGAGCAUAUUUUGCUUUCAAUUCUUUGUUCUUCAUUGAAUAAAUUUCUAACUUAUAAAGAAUUAUAUUCUUGUGGUGUUCAACAAUCC
RNAcentral lists this long non-coding RNA (439 nucleotides) under Olea europaea (common olive). Its description in RNAcentral is "long non-coding RNA (OEUR_LNC014919)". Lineage: Eukaryota; Viridiplantae; Streptophyta; Magnoliopsida; Lamiales; Oleaceae. The record is from RNAcentral.